This 457-nucleotide unclassified non-coding RNA is filed under the name Hevea brasiliensis (rubber tree). Lineage: Eukaryota; Viridiplantae; Streptophyta; Magnoliopsida; Malpighiales; Euphorbiaceae. The record is from RNAcentral.
AAACAAUUUAGCACCGACAGGUACAUACAGGGCCGGCCGUAAAGCAGAGCCAACAGGAAACGGGUGCUGUUCAUAAUAUUAUAAAGAAGAAUGGUUACAUGACAAUCACGUGUGCAUAAACAUUAGUUAAACACAAAGACAACUGCAGUGAAAUGUGAAGCAAAAAUGACUACAUAUUCUUGACUUCUCAAAUCACAUUCCUGGGUUCCUCAGAUUACAACUGUAACAGGGCUUCUGUAAUUUACAAGGCCAUCAUAUCCCUAUAUUUGCCUGUAAGAAAUACAAUAUAGAAAGAGUACAAGCUAGAAAGAUGUAAAAUACAAGUUAGAUUAAGUGUGAAAUGUCGCAUUUUGGCAACAUAUUUCUGCCUCAUUUUGUAAAAGCAGCACUAGAGCCAAUUUGGGGGCAUCUUGCUCGACGUUGCCUUAGAGGAUGGAUCAUCUGAAACUUUCUCCAA